Long non-coding RNA from Drosophila grimshawi, 492 nucleotides. RefSeq lists it as uncharacterized. The record is from RefSeq and is a predicted model, not a curated record. The transcript has 3 exons. Lineage: Eukaryota; Metazoa; Arthropoda; Insecta; Diptera; Drosophilidae.
UCAGAAUAUAUCAAUUCCGUUCUUUCGACAGCCACAAGCGGCUACCGAACAGCUGUUCGCAAAACCCACAAAGGUUAACACGAAGAACUAAAUUCCAAAUGCGGGGCACUUAGACCAGGCCGAAAUAACAAUGUGAAUUUCUAACGGCAAACAUGAUGAUAUUGGCGGAAGCAUCUAAGCUCGAGGAGCAGCAGCAACAACAGCUAAAUCCAAGUAGCAAUUUCAAUGGCCAGACAGGAGUUUGUUGUUGCUGUGGUUCUUGCAACGUCUCACUCAUUCAAACUAACGGAUGUAAAUUACAUUUUAUGCGGAUUGGCUCAGACAGUGGGCGAGAGGGCGGCAAAGCGGAGAACGUGGAGGGAGGUAAGAAUUUGGCCGAACUUGCAAUGGGAGUCAAUCAUGCAGCCGGUUCGCCAGCAAGCAAGGCAGCAAGAGAAGCUGUGGACCCCGCCCCACCAUUCAACCCAGUUGGCCCACCUUGUAAUGCAAACU